Long non-coding RNA from Suricata suricatta (meerkat), 261 nucleotides. RefSeq lists it as uncharacterized. The record is from RefSeq and is a predicted model, not a curated record. NCBI's taxonomy places the organism in Eukaryota, Metazoa, Chordata, Mammalia, Carnivora, Herpestidae. The transcript is spliced from 2 exons.
GUAAUGAUACAUCAAUGGAAGGAAGAAAAAUGAGGACACCAGAAGUCCAAUGCCUCCUGACUUUCAAGAAAGUGGCUGCUCCUUCACCCUAUAGAAGAGUUGGAUGGAUUCAGGCUGCUGCCAUUUCGGCGCUAAUGAGUCCUUCCAAUGUGGUUCAGAGCUCCUGCAAGACUAUGAGUUUCAUUCUUUAGGCUACAUCUCAAUAAUGUCCAUGGCAUAAAAGAAGCGUUGGAGAGGAGAAAUACAGAACAGUCCAAGCAC